GGGAGAUGCUUCAGAAGAUUGCUUUAAGAGUCUGCUGCAGAAGCAGAGAGAUGCAGGCAGUAACUUGUCUUCCAGAACUGGAGAGACAGACCACUGCUAUGUCCAAGCAUACAUCCCAAACCUGUCAAGCGAAUGGCAGGGGGUGGCAGUGCCUGUUGCGUAUCAGCUUUUGGAAGAAAUCAGAACCCUAGCUUCCUGAUGGCGUAACCAUACUGCAGUUUCCAUACCAGAUCUCAGAAAAGAUGUUCCCCAAGAGAGUUAUUUAUACAACUGUUUUCAGUUGUCCCAGAGAAGCCUCGGGGGAGAGAAGAGACUUGUGCACGUUUGGACAGAACUUUCUGCAAGGAAGGGAACAAGGCUGAUGGGAUCUGACAAUGCCCAGUGGGGACACGGUCCCCAGAGAUGCUGCCCGUCACCUUUGUUAAUCCCAUGCAAAAGAUCAGAGUUAGACAAGCAGAUAGCUGAUCAUUCUGGCCACAAAC
Long non-coding RNA from Pezoporus occidentalis (night parrot), 482 nucleotides. RefSeq lists it as uncharacterized. The transcript has 4 exons. The record is from RefSeq and is a predicted model, not a curated record. NCBI's taxonomy places the organism in Eukaryota, Metazoa, Chordata, Aves, Psittaciformes, Psittacidae.